Molecule: non-coding RNA, 111 nt
Filed under: uncultured Enterocloster sp.
Lineage: Bacteria; Bacillati; Bacillota; Clostridia; Lachnospirales; Lachnospiraceae
Description: FMN riboswitch (RFN element)
Rfam family: FMN riboswitch aptamer (RFN element)
About the family: The RFN element is a highly conserved domain that is found frequently in the 5'-untranslated regions of prokaryotic mRNAs that encode for flavin mononucleotide (FMN) biosynthesis and transport proteins.
Source: RNAcentral
UUCUUCGGGGCAGGGUGUGAUUCCCUACCGGCGGUAAUAGUCCGCGACCCGCUAUGGCGGCUGAUUUGGUGCGAUUCCAAAACCGACAGUAUAGUCUGGAUGAGAGAAGAA